AUGAUCCUGUGGCUGAAAUUGGUUUCCUUACUAGCAGUCCUCAGAGGUGUCCUGUCAGAGGCCCAGUUGGUGGAGUCCGGAGGGGACGUGAGAAGGCCUGGAGAGUCCCUCCGCCUCACCUGCCAAGCCUCUGGGUUCAACUUCGGGGGCUAUUGGAUGAGCUGGGUGAGACAGGCCCAUGGGAAAGGGCUGGAAUGGGUUGCCAGCACAAUUACAGGCUCAUCUAACACUUACUACUCGGACAAAGUCAAGGGACGCUUCACCAUCUCGAGCGACAACUCCAAAAGCCAACUCUAUCUGCAAAUGAACAGCCUGAAGCCAGAGGACUCGGCAGUCUAUUACUGUGCGAGAGAC
This is a non-coding RNA of Candoia aspera, 354 nucleotides long. Lineage: Eukaryota; Metazoa; Chordata; Lepidosauria; Squamata; Candoiidae. The record is from the annotation of a RefSeq genome assembly.